This 807-nucleotide ribosomal RNA is filed under the name uncultured bacterium. Its description in RNAcentral is "bacterial SSU rRNA". It matches the Rfam family "Bacterial small subunit ribosomal RNA", at positions 8 to 796 of the family's 1533-position model. The record is from RNAcentral.
AGAGUUUGAUCAUGGCUCAGGACGAACGCUGGCGGCGUGCCUAAUACAUGCAAGUCGAGCGGACAGAUGGGAGCUUGCUCCCUGAUGUUAGCGGCGGACGGGUGAGUAACACGUGGGUAACCUGCCUGUAAGACUGGGAUAACUCCGGGAAACCGGGGCUAAUACCGGAUGCUUGUUUGAACCGCAUGGUUCAAACAUAAAAAGGUGGCUUCGGCUACCACUUACAGAUGGACCCGCGGCGCAUUAGCUAGUUGGUGAGGUAACGGCUCACCAAGGCAACGAUGCGUAGCCGACCUGAGAGGGUGAUCGGCCACACUGGGACUGAGACACGGCCCAGACUCCUACGGGAGGCAGCAGUAGGGAAUCUUCCGCAAUGGACGAAAGUCUGACGGAGCAACGCCGCGUGAGUGAUGAAGGUUUUCGGAUCGUAAAGCUCUGUUGUUAGGGAAGAACAAGUACCGUUCGAAUAGGGCGGUACCUUGACGGUACCUAACCAGAAAGCCACGGCUAACUACGUGCCAGCAGCCGCGGUAAUACGUAGGUGGCAAGCGUUGUCCGGAAUUAUUGGGCGUAAAGGGCUCGCAGGCGGUUUCUUAAGUCUGAUGUGAAAGCCCCCGGCUCAACCGGGGAGGGUCAUUGGAAACUGGGGAACUUGAGUGCAGAAGAGGAGAGUGGAAUUCCACGUGUAGCGGUGAAAUGCGUAGAGAUGUGGAGGAACACCAGUGGCGAAGGCGACUCUCUGGUCUGUAACUGACGCUGAGGAGCGAAAGCGUGGGGAGCGAACAGGAUUAGAUACCCUAGUAGUCC